Long non-coding RNA from Lycium barbarum (goji berry), 806 nucleotides. RefSeq lists it as uncharacterized. The record is from RefSeq and is a predicted model, not a curated record. NCBI's taxonomy places the organism in Eukaryota, Viridiplantae, Streptophyta, Magnoliopsida, Solanales, Solanaceae. The transcript has 2 exons.
AAUCAACCAAACAGCCUUUUUUUUCAUUUCCUCUCAAGGGUCGAGUAGGACCUCUAGUCGCAGAUUGAGCCAAGAAUUUAAUAUUUGCCUCCUCUCUCCACCAUAUCACAACCAAACGAGGCUUACAAAUGAGUCUCAAUCAGACUCAUCGGGUUCUGAGUACAUAGUGGAAUGCAGGGGUGCGGACAAGCUUAAACCAAUAUUCUAAGCAGUGCCUGCUAUGGUUACUUGGGAGUUAUGGAAGAGAAGAAACAAUAUCAAGCAUGGUGGUAAAAUAAGCUUUAAUAGAGUGGUACAUGAAGUGAAUAACAAUAUUUACUUAUAGUAAAACUGAGAUAUCCCUGGCUCAAGAAUAUACCUUUCUCAUGGUCAUAGAUGGUCAAUUUUCUAGAAGAAUACAAGAUUGUUAUUGCCACCAGAAUUGUGUAUUGGGCCUUUCCUGCUAAAAUGUGUUAAUAAGUGUAACACAAAUGGUGCUUCAAAGAGGAAUCCUGCUCCUAGUUCAUAUGGUUUUUGUGUGAGAGAUUGGAGGGGAGAUCUAUUUUAUGCUCAAUAUAAGGAGAUUGAUGAAACUACAAAUGUGAUUGCUGAGGCUAGAGAAAUAAUAGAGGGUAUGAUGUACUAUGCAGCAAAUAACUUGCUAGCAGUAACAAUUGAAACAGAUUCUAUUUUGCUAAAAAAAAAAAAAAACAAACGGUAGAAGGAAGUUGGGAGCCUCCGUAGUGUAUUGCCACAUUGGUGGACAGAAUCAAAGCACUGAAGGAUAUCCACAAUAUGACAAUACAACAUGUUUUCAGAGAAGACAA